Molecule: transfer RNA, 72 nt
Filed under: Xenopus laevis (African clawed frog)
Lineage: Eukaryota; Metazoa; Chordata; Amphibia; Anura; Pipidae
Rfam family: tRNA
About the family: Transfer RNA (tRNA) molecules are approximately 80 nucleotides in length. Their secondary structure includes four short double-helical elements and three loops (D, anti-codon, and T loops). Further hydrogen bonds mediate the characteristic L-shaped molecular structure. tRNAs have two regions of fundamental functional importance: the anti-codon, which is responsible for specific mRNA codon recognition, and the 3' end, to which the tRNAs corresponding amino acid is attached (by aminoacyl-tRNA synthetases). tRNAs cope with the degeneracy of the genetic code in two manners: having more than one tRNA (with a specific anti-codon) for a particular amino acid; and 'wobble' base-pairing, i.e. permitting non-standard base-pairing at the 3rd anti-codon position.
Source: Rfam by way of RNAcentral
GGGGAUGUAGCUCAGUGGUAGAGCACAUGCUUUCCUUGUAUGAGGUCUUGGGACCAAUUCUCAGCUUCUCCU